This 775-nucleotide ribosomal RNA is filed under the name uncultured bacterium. RNAcentral's name for it is "bacterial SSU rRNA". It matches the Rfam family "Bacterial small subunit ribosomal RNA", at positions 70 to 860 of the family's 1533-position model. The record is from RNAcentral.
GAGAGGAAGUUUACUUUUUCAAGCGAGUGGCGAACGGGUGAGUAACGCGUGAGGAACCUGCCUCAAAGAGGGGGACAACAGUUGGAAACGACUGCUAAUACCGCAUAAGCCCACGGCUCGGCAUCGAGCAGAGGGAAAAGGAGCAAUCCGCUUUGAGAUGGCCUCGCGUCCGAUUAGCUAGUUGGUGAGGUAACGGCCCACCAAGGCGACGAUCGGUAGCCGGACUGAGAGGUUGAACGGCCACAUUGGGACUGAGACACGGCCCAGACUCCUACGGGAGGCAGCAGUGGGGAAUAUUGCACAAUGGGGGAAACCCUGAUGCAGCGACGCCGCGUGGAGGAAGAAGGUCUUCGGAUUGUAAACUCCUGUUGUUGAGGAAGAUAAUGACGGUACUCAACAAGGAAGUGACGGCUAACUACGUGCCAGCAGCCGCGGUAAAACGUAGGUCACAAGCGUUGUCCGGAAUUACUGGGUGUAAAGGGAGCGCAGGCGGGAAGACAAGUUGGAAGUGAAAUCCAUGGGCUCAACCCAUGAACUGCUUUCAAAACUGUUUUUCUUGAGUAGUGCAGAGGUAGGCGGAAUUCCCGGUGUAGCGGUGGAAUGCGUAGAUAUCGGGAGGAACACCAGUGGCGAAGGCGGCCUACUGGGCACCAACUGACGCUGAGGCUCGAAAGUGUGGGUAGCAAACAGGAUUAGAUACCCUGGUAGUCCACACUGUAAACGAUGAUUACUAGGUGUUGGAGGAUUGACCCCUUCAGUGCCGCAGUUAACACAA